AUUAAUACCCGCAUGAGCACCACAACAGCCACAUGGCUUAGGGGUAACAAGGAUUUAUCCGGUGUAAAGAUGGGCUCGCGCUCUGAUUAGCUAAUUUGGUGACGAUAACUGGCCCACCAAGGCGACGAUCAGUACCGACCUGAGAGGGUGAUCGGCCACAUUGGAACUGAGACACGGUCCAAACUCCUACGGGAGGCACGACGUGGGGAAUAUUGCACAAUGGGCGCAAGCCUGACUGCACGCAACGCCGCGUGAACGAUGAAGGUCUUCGGAUCGUAAAGUUCUGUUGCAGGGGAAGAUAAUGACGGUACCCUGUGAGGAAGCCCCGGCUAACUACGUGCCAGCAGCCGCGGUAAUACGUAGGGGGCUAGCGUUAUCCGGAUUUACUGGGCGUAAAGGGUGCGUAGGUGGUCUUUCAAGUCGGUGGUUAAAGGCUACGGCUCAACCGUAGUUAGCCUCCGAAACUGGAAGACUUGAGUGCAGGAGAGGAAAGUGGAAUUCCCAGUGUAGCGGUGAAAUGCGUAGAUAUUGGGAGGAACACCAGUAGCGAAGGCGGCUUUCUGGACUGCAACUGACACUGAGGCACGAAAGCGUGGGUAGCAAACAGGAUUAGAUACCCUGGUAGUCCACGCUGUAAACGAUGAGUACUAGGUGUCGGGGGUUACCCCCCUCGGUGCCGCAGCUAACGCAUUAAG
This 695-nucleotide ribosomal RNA is filed under the name uncultured Clostridia bacterium. RNAcentral's name for it is "bacterial SSU rRNA". It matches the Rfam family "Bacterial small subunit ribosomal RNA", at positions 162 to 864 of the family's 1533-position model. The record is from RNAcentral. Lineage: Bacteria; Bacillati; Bacillota; Clostridia.